AUUGAACGCUGGCGGCAUGCCUUACACAUGCAAGUCGAACGGCAGCACGGGAGCAAUCCUGGUGGCGAGUGGCGAACGGGUGAGUAAUAUAUCGGAACGUGCCCAGUGAUGGGGGAUAGCCCGGCGAAAGCCGGAUUAAUACCGCAUACGACCUACGGGUGAAAGCAGGGGAUCGCAAGACCUUGCGUCAUUGGAGCGGCCGAUAUCAGAUUAGCUUGGGUGGGUAAAGCCUACCAAGGCGACGAUCUGUAGCUGGUCUGAGAGGACGACCAGCCACACUGGGACUGAGACACGGCCCAGACUCC
RNAcentral lists this ribosomal RNA (305 nucleotides) under uncultured bacterium. RNAcentral's name for it is "bacterial SSU rRNA". It matches the Rfam family "Bacterial small subunit ribosomal RNA", at positions 30 to 339 of the family's 1533-position model. The record is from RNAcentral.